This 228-nucleotide long non-coding RNA is filed under the name Cyanistes caeruleus (blue tit). Its description in RNAcentral is "lncRNA (ENSCCEG00000001921.1)". Lineage: Eukaryota; Metazoa; Chordata; Aves; Passeriformes; Paridae. The record is from RNAcentral.
UGACUAUGCUUCAUUCACCAUCUGGACUAACACUCAUGGAUAAAGAAAGAUUUGGCUUUUCAUCCCAAACUCAAUGGAGUUGUAAAACCCACAGAGAAACGGCAGCCUGUUAUGAUAUUUACGUCAUCCAGUUAUGAGUCCAGAGUGAAGAAUUUAUUUCCAGGGGCUUGAAACUUCAACAGUGACCACUUCUGAGUAAUAGAGGAUAAGAAUAAAUAAAUACAGAAG